AGAGUUUGAUCCUGGCUCAGGAUGAACGCUGGCGGCGUGCUUAACACAUGCAAGUCGAACGGAGACAUAUUUUGAAGUUUUCGGAUGGAAAGAUAUGUUCUUAGUGGCGGACGGGUGAGUAAUGUAUGAGCAACCUGCCUUUAAGAGGGGGACAACAGUUGGAAACGACUGCUAAUACCGCAUAAUACGAAUUUGUCGCAUGACAGAUUUGUCAAAGGAGCAAUCCGCUUAAAGAUGGGCUCAUA
RNAcentral lists this ribosomal RNA (245 nucleotides) under uncultured bacterium. Its description in RNAcentral is "partial 16S ribosomal RNA". It matches the Rfam family "Bacterial small subunit ribosomal RNA", at positions 8 to 235 of the family's 1533-position model. The record is from RNAcentral.